This 72-nucleotide transfer RNA is filed under the name Ovis aries (sheep). It matches the Rfam family "tRNA". From Rfam's summary of the family: Transfer RNA (tRNA) molecules are approximately 80 nucleotides in length. The record is from Rfam by way of RNAcentral. Lineage: Eukaryota; Metazoa; Chordata; Mammalia; Artiodactyla; Bovidae.
UCUCUGGUGGCUCAGAUGAUAAAGAAUCUGUCUGUAAUGCAGAAGACACGGGUUCAAUCCCUGGCCUGGGAA